This is an RNA transcript of Paramacrobiotus metropolitanus, 4301 nucleotides long. RefSeq lists it as uncharacterized. The transcript is spliced from 6 exons. NCBI's taxonomy places the organism in Eukaryota, Metazoa, Tardigrada, Eutardigrada, Parachela, Macrobiotidae. The record is from RefSeq and is a predicted model, not a curated record.
UGAUGUGGCAGAUUGUUCACGAUCGAAGAUAGAAUUAAAGGUACAACUCCGUGGGUUCUUUUAAUUAUCGGUGAAAGUGUGAAUAAAUAUUUCAAACCGUGGAAUCCAUUGAAAGUUAUAAUUAAAAACGCUCCUAUGCUAUACAAUGGAAUAUGCAUAAUUCAAGCCAGCUUUAGCUCAAUUGUGAUAACCUCGAAGUGCCUUAAAUACAGUAGCUAGUACUAGCUACCAGAAACAAUACUCGCACCUGAUCAUGAAGAUUUCUGGCACAACCAAAAGUCUGGGUAAAAAACAAUCAACACAAUAAGAAAAACAGAAAAAAUCUAAACAUCAUUACAGAACGACCUCGAUUAAUUUUAACGUCCCCUCCAUUGUACCCAUAACUGAUGUUGCAUUUGCGCGCUGUAUCUCCAACGAAAGUCGCUGUCGGAAUAUACGUAUAAUCGUGUUGUGUAAACUGGUACGUACGAUUGAUACUACAUACUGGGACGAAGGAGAAAUUUAUUUAGCAACCGUGGAAUGCUUUAAACCACAGGAGUUUGGACGAACAAAAGUAUUCAUUUAAUUCUUAGGCAGGUCAUCGUCAAUCUUGAAUCACUUCAGGGAAGUGGGCCGGGACAUGGUACCGAAUUCGUGUACAUGCACGAAAACUUACAUUUUCGCGCACUCCCAAACACUUUUUUGUUUCGGAUUAGGUAUGACGUUUUGCAGCCAGAAGAUUUGUAUACACUGGCGUGAGAACCGUUUGUGCGUGCAACAUCCGGUUCGGGAGUUAUGGCUGUUACAAAAUUCCAAAAAGUUUAAAUGCGUUCAGGUGUACCAAAAGUCUCAUUAUGGACCGAUCUCCCUCAAAUUUUCCACGUAAAUGCACAUAACCACGAAGAACGCCAUAACUCGCGAACCGGAUGUUGCGCGCACAAACUGUUUUCACGCCAGUGUAUAUAAAUCUUCUGGCUACAAAACUUCAUAAACCGAAACAAAAAUGUGUUUGGGAGUGCGCGAAAGUGCAAGUUUUCGUGCGUGUACACGAAUUUGGUACUAUGUACCGGCCCACUUCCCUUCAGUACUUCUAUAGCUAAAUCAGUGCAAUCUUUCAUUGCGCAUAAUAGGAUGUGAACGCUUCCUGCAAGGCUGAAAGUGGUGUUUCCGUUCUGCAACUACAGAUAUAAUUAUACUCUGAAUAUAAAUAUACAAUAAUAUAAUAUAAGUAGUGGUCGCGCUCCAGAAUAGCGCGCGAUGAGUUGCGUUUCAGGCAUGGAAUUAUGAUCGAAAAAAUUAAUAUGGAGUGUGGAAUAUUUCGCAAUAUAUUUAGAAGCACAGAAAUGCUGAAAUCUACAGAGCAUCCGCUCCACCAAGCAUGGCUACCGAUCAGAUUACGGUCACCGCCAAGACCGUUCUCCCUUUACCGACCACCGUUGAGCAUUGGCUGAAUAAAUGCCUUAUGGAAUCCCAGCAUGGCGAUCUUCUGACUUUACAUCAACGGAGCCGCCCGGAAUGCUUUGGCGACGGAUACAUCGCCUGGUGCUUAUUGCACCACUACUUUCCGCGCGAUAUCAACAUGACGGCUUUCCGGACACCACAUAGCCGUCACGAAUACGCCGAGAUCUGGAGUCAGGUGGAUCUGGUACUGCGGAAGCAUAGCCUGCCACGCUUCUCUGCUGACCUGGUAGCGGCGGUUGUUAAAGGUUGCCAGUCUGCGAAAGCGGUACUGCUGAUGCUGUUGUAUGAGGCGCUUACAAAUCUGAAACUGCCGCGAGCCAUACCGCAGUUUGUGCCUGAAAGGGGCGACCGGAAGGGCGGGGUGUUGCGGGCUACUCCAGUGUACGCGAGACGCUAUUCUGCAUCGUUCAUACAACUUCUUCAGGGAAUGUACGGCACCAGUCAAAACCUAGCCUUUUCAUUUGGUCAGCGCGAGCUGCAACCACCUAAAACGCUCGUGGCAGAAACACAACACAUCAUCCCGGAUGGUGAGAAGCCGGACGAGCAACUAAAGAGGUUAUUACGCAAACGUCAUGGAUCGCGUUGUUUUUUGUACCACUCAGACUACGCUGCUCCAAUCAAAUUUGGUACCCAGCAGAAACGUCCCGCAUCCGCUAAGACGAAUCUAAAAUUGAAAGGUCACGAACAACCUCAGGAAAUCAACAGAGGAGGGUCAACUACAAUCUCCCAUUAUCGAGUCAUCAGACAACACGUAGCGGCAAUUAAAAAGCCCGCAACGCCAUCGGGACUGCUCCAGCCGCCAUUUUUUAUAUCACCGGAUCCAUUGCACAAACAGCCCAGAGCUAUCGUUUCGUCUUAGCUGUACAUAGAUGCGUUCGUAGACAUGGCCGGCGGGAUUGAUUGAAAUGAAGCGCCGCGCCGUCACCGCACACGUCAAUCCUGCCCCGAAUGAACAUUUUUCAUAUCCGAUUUACGAUAUUGUGUGAACGACGAACGAAUAGGACCAGUUGUGGGUUAUCUGGAGUUUGGUUACCGCGAUUCCAGCUAUUAAGACCUAAUUAAUCCUGCACAUGAUACAUAUACGUCGACCAUACUACAGACGGAAAUCUGAUAUAAAGGAUGCUCAUCGUCAUGAUCAGCCGGUACCGGAAACGCGUCCGGCCAUAAUCUAUCGGCUUAACUCUUUCAUAAACACACCAGAGUACAUAGGAAGCAGAUCAAACACCUUUUUCACAUUACUGGAUGUAGCUGAGGCUUUGGCAUUGUAAACGUAUAGCGAUAUCCCGCGGUCUCUGGUGAGCAGUACCAUGACGUUGCAAUAAUAUCGUGCCCAGCUGUUGUGAUUCGGUGUUGGAGACCUGACCGGUCGACUUAUGCGGCUUCGCGGUGAAGGUUAAGAACGAACAGAAAGUGUACAAAGUAUUGAUGUCAGUACACCUGUACAGACAUAACAAGUAUAUUGAUUGGUGUACGGGAAAAUUAGUUUGGCACAUAUUGGAUUUCUCUCGCAGCAUCCCGAUCAAUGUACUGUUGUCAGUGAAAAAACCUUUCAGUUCGACUGCGCAGUGUAAGUACAUCAGUAUACAACAACGAGAACAUCAACAGGCUGAUUAGCAUGGUAGGGUGUGUGUUGUCACUUUUGAACAUGUUGUGUGCACAAUGACGAUGCACUGUGGUAAAGUGUAAAAAGAUUUUGAGGUUGAGAUCCUCCGUUUUCUAGCCGUACUUGCAAUCACAAUCCAACGAUGUAAACGUAAUUUGAUACGAGUUUGCCAGGGUUUCUUUUUGCCUGCCGACUGAAUAUUAUUCUGUAGAAUUCCGCAAAUCUAAUCCAUUUUCGAAUGUUGUGAUCAUAGUACAGAUCUGUACUAACCGGCUUCCGACAUGAUAGAUUAGAAAGUUGCUGUCGUCGCCAAUUUGACCGGCGCGUUAAUUUUAAUUUAAAGGCUGACUUGAAUCAAUCGGUCGCCGAAAAAGUGCAAGGAAGAAUCUGGACUCAGUGCGCCGAGAGAAAUGUUGAUCGGCGACAGCGCUUGACUGCGCCGCGGAAAAGGAUGACGGCAAUUAAAUCACUUCUGCCUGAUGUGCUAUGCGUGUGCAGCUUCCUCUAUUUGCUCAGCCAUCUUCUGUGCAUGAGUCUAGCGUCCAACUGUUGGGACCGAGGCUGCCUGACCUCCCUCGUUGACCUCACCGACUUCCUGGAUCCCGGCUGGAUCCUUCUAGACGGUCUCGCCCUGCCGGUCUUGCAGUUGUGCGCUUGCGGCGCAUUGAAUAAAGCCCGCCAUCCGGUGCCGGGCGAGAAGGUGGAUCCGUUGGGCUUCGGUGGCUUGUUGAGCCUCUUCCUCUUUUCCAUUCUCUACAUGUCAGCCACACUUAUCUUCAGUAUGUGGAUGGGCAAUUGGGAUCUCCAUAAAGUGGCUCUGCUUAUAUUCCUCGUUACCGGCGUGAUGACCAUCACGACGGCGGUACUGGGAACGAUGCGGCGGAGCGAGUAUGAGAAAACUUCCGGUAGCCGAGCGCUGAUUAUUGAAGGUGCCGCACAGAAUUUCACUAGUCCGGAAUUCAACCUUGUGGUACACAGUGCAAGGAUGGUUUGAUUCUAUAAUCGAUGUACCGGCACUCCGGCAGUAUACUGCCACAUCCAUGUCUUUUUCCGAAUACGAGCUUGCCAUAAGUUAAUAAAUGUCCAUGCCUGGUUAAGUACUUUAAUACUCACUUCGUCUACUAGCACGGUUAUUCACACCAAAAGUGACCUUAUUGAUUCAACAACAACUUUUUAAAAAACUAAUGUUGUAGAAAACCUUUUUUUCGCUAUGUGAGUGAAAAGGGGCUCCUUACGUAUGUGACGACCGAAACAAGAU